GAAGGUGAUGAUAGUAUCUGUCGCCCCAGUCUUACAAGCAUGUGCUUGGUGGUGAUCGACACUCUCAUGUCUGAUUC
Molecule: non-coding RNA, 77 nt
Organism: Ricinus communis (castor bean)
Lineage: Eukaryota; Viridiplantae; Streptophyta; Magnoliopsida; Malpighiales; Euphorbiaceae
Source: Rfam